This 158-nucleotide ribosomal RNA is filed under the name Beauveria bassiana. RNAcentral's name for it is "5.8S ribosomal RNA". It matches the Rfam family "5.8S ribosomal RNA". Rfam says of the family: 5.8S ribosomal RNA (5.8S rRNA) is a component of the large subunit of the eukaryotic ribosome. It is transcribed by RNA polymerase I as part of the 45S precursor that also contains 18S and 28S rRNA. The record is from RNAcentral. Lineage: Eukaryota; Fungi; Ascomycota; Sordariomycetes; Hypocreales; Cordycipitaceae.
AAACUUUCAACAACGGAUCUCUUGGCUCUGGCAUCGAUGAAGAACGCAGCGAAAUGCGAUAAGUAAUGUGAAUUGCAGAAUCCAGUGAAUCAUCGAAUCUUUGAACGCACAUGGCGCCCGCCAGCAUUCUGGCGGGCAUGCCUGUUCGAGCGUCAUUU